CGGGAAUUCGAUUGCAUGGAUUAGGCAUGCAUUUCGAGCGAGAACGGGGAGCAAUCCCUUAGUAAAGCGGCACACGGGUCAGUAAUGCGUGGAUAACUUGCCCUUGAGACUGGGAUAACGGCGGGAAACUGCCGCUAAUACCGGAUGGCCUCGCGAGCCGGCAUCGGUUUGCGAGUAAAGGUGGGGACCGAAAGGCCUGCUGCUCAAGGAGAGGUUCACGACCUAUCAGCUAGUUGGUGAGGUAAUGGCUCACCAAGGCGACGACGGGUAGGCGGGCUGAGAGGCUGACCGCCGACACUGGGACUGAGAACUGCCCAGACUCCUACGGGAGGCUGCAGUCGAGAAUCUUCCGCAAUGGACGCAAGUCUGACGGAGCGACGCCGCGUGCGGGAUGAAGGUCUUUGGAUUGUAAACCGCUGUCACGCGUUAUGAAUGCGCAGCAGCGAAUACCUGCUGCGUUGACAAAGGCGCGAGAGGAAGUCACGGCUAAUUCUGUGCCAGCAGCCGCGGUAAUACAGAGGUGGCAAGCGUUGCUCGGUAUCACUGGGCUUAAAGGGCGCGUAGGCGGUGUGGUACGGUCUCGGUGAAAUCCCUCGGCCCAACCGAGGAACAGCCGGGGCUACGGCCACACUAGACGGCAUCAGGGGACAGUGGAACUUCCGGUGGAGCGGUGAAAUGCGUAGAUAUCGGAAGGCACGCCGGUGGCGAAAGCGACUGUACUGGGGUGCCUGUGACGCUGAGGCGCGAAAGCCAGGGGAUCAAACGGGAUUAGAUACCCCGGUAGUCCUGGCCCUAAACGAUGCGCACUAGGUAGCGGGAGGUUCCGACUUCCCGCUGCCGGAGUAAAAAUCUUAAGUGCGCCGCCUGGGGAGUACGGCCGCAAGGUUAAAACUCAAAGGAAUUGACGGGGGCUCACACAAGCGGUG
RNAcentral lists this ribosomal RNA (926 nucleotides) under uncultured bacterium. RNAcentral's name for it is "bacterial SSU rRNA". It matches the Rfam family "Bacterial small subunit ribosomal RNA", at positions 26 to 934 of the family's 1533-position model. The record is from RNAcentral.